GACGAACGCUGGCGGCGUGGAUUAGGCAUGCAAGUCGAACGGUAUCAUCCUUUCGGGGGUGAGAGAGUGGCGAACUGGUGAGUAACACGUAGGUUAUCUACCCUCAAGACGGGGACGACCCAGGGAAACUUGGGCUAAUACCGGAUGUGAGCAACUUUUAGUUGUUUGAAAGGUGGCGUAAGCUGUCGCUUGGGGAUGAGCCUGCGUCCUAUUAGUUAGUUGGUGAGGUAACGGCUCACCUAGGCAAUGAAUAGGUAGGCGGCCUUAACGGGUGGUCGCCCACACUGGGAUUGAGAUACGGCCCAGACUCCUACGGGAGGCAGCAGUCGAGAAUAGUCUACAAUGGUCGGAAGACUGAAUAGUGCGACGCCGCGUGAACGAUGAAUCCCUUCGGGGGUGUAAAAGUUCUUUUAUAUGUGAGCAGUGCUUCUUAUUAAUUAACAGUAUGGGGAGAGAGAUAUUAGCAUAUGAAUAAAGCAACGGCUAACUCCGUCGCCACGCAACGCCGGACGGUAAUUA
This 519-nucleotide ribosomal RNA is filed under the name uncultured bacterium. RNAcentral's name for it is "bacterial SSU rRNA". It matches the Rfam family "Bacterial small subunit ribosomal RNA", at positions 28 to 525 of the family's 1533-position model. The record is from RNAcentral.